Molecule: ribosomal RNA, 252 nt
Filed under: uncultured bacterium
Lineage: Bacteria
Description: partial 16S ribosomal RNA
Rfam family: Bacterial small subunit ribosomal RNA
Source: RNAcentral
UACGGGGGGGCAAGCGUUGUUCGGAAUUACUGGGCGUAAAGGGCUCGUAGGCGGCCAACUAAGUCAGACGUGAAAUCCCCAGGCUCAACCUGGGAACUGCGUCUGAUACUGGAUGGCUUGAAUCCGGGAGAGGGAUGCAGAAUUCCAGGUGUAGCGGUGAAAUGCGUAGAUAUCUGGAGGAAUACCGGUGGCGAAGGCGGCAUCCUGGACCGGCAUUGACGCUGAUGAGCGAAAGCCAGGGGAGCAAACGGG